CCGAAGUCUUCCCCGAGACACAUCAUGGUUAUUGUAUGUACCAUAAACAAGGAAAUCUGAAGACCAAGUAUCAAGGCAAGGGCAUCGUUACGUUGUUUAAGAGAGCUACAGAGGCUUACAAUUUUCAAGAGUUUGAAAAGUUUAUGGUUGAAAUCGAAAGUAAAUCCUAUGAUGCAUGGGAGUAUCUGACAGAGAUGGGGAUCGAACAUUGGGCAUGAUCACAUUUUUCAGGACGUGGAUACAACAUGAUGACGUCGAACAAUGCAGAGUCGCUCAAUGCCUUAUUUAAGAAGGAUCGAGGUUACCAAUUCUCGCAAUGCUUGAAAACAUUCAUGACAAGUUGCAACAGUGGCUUCAUGAUUGUCGUGAAGAAUCACAGAGUUGCACAAGUGUGAUAACCCCGGCUCAGAAAAAUAAACUCUUCAAGACUCUAGAGGUGGCAAGGAAGGCAUAUGUAGAACUAUUAGAUCAGUUUCGCUUCUCCGCGAGAUGUGCACGUAAUUUUGGAUACAUCGUUGACUUGAAUGAUAACACAUACACGUGUAUAUAGUUUCAAUUGGAGAGUAUUCCGUGUACACAUGCAGUGGCAGUGGAUAUGUAUAGAGGAAUUCCAUCACGCACCUUAUGCAGUGCUUAUUACACGACUGGUUCUUGGAGAGCAGCAUCUGCCGAAACCAUAUUUCCUGUAUCGAAUGAAGUUGAGUGGGAAGUUUCUGAUCACAUUCUCUCAUUGAAUAACUUGUUGCCACCAGCAGUUGGCCCACGUACUCUUGGACGUAUACGUACGUCUAGAAUACCAUCGACCGGAGAAUUUUCCCGGCCUCGUAAGUGCGGCAAGUGAGGUGCAACAGGACAUACUAGAAGAUUUUGUACAAGUCAAAUCCCUC
RNAcentral lists this long non-coding RNA (887 nucleotides) under Olea europaea subsp. europaea. Lineage: Eukaryota; Viridiplantae; Streptophyta; Magnoliopsida; Lamiales; Oleaceae. The record is from RNAcentral.